GGGUGUGAUUGCUGCCAUGAGAGAUGGUUUUGGCUUCAUCAAGUGUGUGGACCGUGAUGCUCGUAUGUUCUUCCACUUCAGUGAGAUUCUCGAUGGGAACCAGCUCCACAUUGCAGAUGAAGUGGAGUUUACUGUGGUCCCUGAUAUGCUCUCUGCCCAAAGAAAUCAUGCUAUUAGGAUUAAAAAACUUCCCAAGGGCACGGUUUCAUUCCAUUCCCAUUCAGAUCAUCGUUUUCUGGGCACCGUAGAAAAAGAAGCCACUUUUUCUAAUCCUAAAACUACAAGCCCAAAUAAAGGCAAAGACAAGGUUGAAUUUAGUAUUAGUGACAAACAGAGGCCUGGACAGCAGAUUGCAACUUGUGUGAGACUUUUAGGUCGUAAUUCUAAU
RNAcentral lists this long non-coding RNA (388 nucleotides) under Rattus norvegicus (Norway rat). RNAcentral describes it as "long non-coding RNA NONRATT015642". Lineage: Eukaryota; Metazoa; Chordata; Mammalia; Rodentia; Muridae. The record is from RNAcentral.